Molecule: ribosomal RNA, 396 nt
Filed under: uncultured bacterium
Lineage: Bacteria
Description: partial 16S ribosomal RNA
Rfam family: Bacterial small subunit ribosomal RNA
Source: RNAcentral
AUACGUAGGUGACAAGCGUUAUCCGGAUUUACUGGGCGUAAAGGGCGUGUAGGCGGUCUUGCAAGUCAGAAGUGAAAUUCCUGAGCUCAACUCGGGCGCUGCUUCUGAAAAUGCAGGACUUGAGUGCUGGAGGGGAUAGCGGAAUUCCUAGUGGAGCGGUAAAAUGCGCAGAUAUUAGGAAGAACACCAGUGGCGAAGGCGGCCUGCUGGACGACAACUGACGCUGAGGCGCGAAAGCGUGGGGAGCAAACAGGAUUAGAUACCCUGGUAGUCCACGCUGUAAACGAUGAUUACUAGGUGUGGGGGGACUGACCCCUUCCGUGCCGCAGUUAACACAAUAAGUAAUCCACCUGGGGAGUACGGCCGCAAGGUUGAAACUCAAAUGAAUUGGCGGGG